Molecule: ribosomal RNA, 253 nt
Filed under: uncultured bacterium
Lineage: Bacteria
Description: partial 16S ribosomal RNA
Rfam family: Bacterial small subunit ribosomal RNA
Source: RNAcentral
UACAGAGGUCCCAAGCGUUGUUCGGAAUUACUGGGCGUAAAGCGCACGUAGGCGGCUUUGCAAGUUAGAGGUGAAAGCCCGGGGCUCAACUCCGGAAUUGCCUUUAAAACUGCAUCGCUAGAAUUGUGGAGAGGUAAGUGGAAUUCCGAGUGUAGAGGUGAAAUUCGUAGAUAUUCGGAAGAACACCAGUGGCGAAGGCGACUUACUGGACACAUAUUGACGCUGAGGUGCGAAAGCGUGGGGAGCAAACAGG